This is a long non-coding RNA of Drosophila mojavensis, 669 nucleotides long. RefSeq lists it as uncharacterized. Lineage: Eukaryota; Metazoa; Arthropoda; Insecta; Diptera; Drosophilidae. The record is from RefSeq and is a predicted model, not a curated record. The transcript has 3 exons.
UAGAAACUUGAUUUUAUAGCGCCGUAAAAUGUUUUCUUAAUUACACUGUCUAUGUGUAUGUUAAUUACAGAGUCUAUGAGGUGGAUGGGGUCCAUUGACGUGACGGGAAACGUGUUUCUGAUGAGCUCAACAGAAAUUUGUGGCUGUGCGUCAAGUCAGCAUCAGCAACAUAAUUCUGUAUGCUUAAAAAACAGCAUAAUUUGCGAAGUGGAUUUGGCGAGUGGGAGCCGAGUGACUCCACUGCUCGAUUAUGGACUACUUUAUCCAAGCCAUCUAAUCAGUGUGUCAAGCUUCUAUGCUUACAGCUAACAGCUUACAUCUCCUCCACUCGACGCUCAGCGCAAAUCCUACAAGGAAUUCCGGCGCAGUUAGUAUAGAAGGCGAAUGUGAAUGUGAAUGUGAUUGUGAAUGUGAAUGGGGAUAUUCGCCUUCUAUGCCCCCACGCCCACAUUGUUGCUUUUGCCCACACAAUGCCAAAUCAAAUAUUUUGCAUUGUUUUUGUUUUGAGCUUGGCUGGCGUUUGGCUUUGGUUUCGAAACAAAUAUAAAAUAUUUGCUCAUACGUCGGCAGCGCGCUUUGUUCUCAGAUAUCCUAUAACUGUAAAUUGAGCGUGGGAGCGAAAUACAUACAACACGAAUUGUUAUUGAUUAACAAAAUAUAUGUUUAAAA